CGACUAAGCGUACACGGUGGAUGCCCUGGCAGUCAGAGGCGAUGAAGGACGUGCUAAUCUGCGAAAAGCGUCGGUAAGGUGAUAUGAACCGUUAUAACCGGCGAUGUCCGAAUGGGGAAACCCAGUGUGAUUCGUCACACUAUCGUUAACUGAAUACAUAGGUUAACGAGGCGAACCGGGGGAACUGAAACAUCUAAGUACCCCGAGGAAAAGAAAUCAACCGAGAUUCCCCCAGUAGCGGCGAGCGAACGGGGAGCAGCCCAG
RNAcentral lists this ribosomal RNA (264 nucleotides) under Klebsiella pneumoniae. RNAcentral's name for it is "partial 23S ribosomal RNA". It matches the Rfam family "Bacterial large subunit ribosomal RNA", at positions 1 to 272 of the family's 2925-position model. The record is from RNAcentral. Lineage: Bacteria; Pseudomonadati; Pseudomonadota; Gammaproteobacteria; Enterobacterales; Enterobacteriaceae.